GCCUGACGCAGCGCGCCGCGUGAAUGAUGAAGGCCUUCGGGUUGUAAACUUCUUUUAUUGGGGACGAAGGAAGUGAGGGUACCCAAAAAACAGGCCACGGCUAACUACGUGCCAGCAGCCGCGGUAAU
This 128-nucleotide ribosomal RNA is filed under the name uncultured Bacillota bacterium. RNAcentral's name for it is "uncultured Firmicutes bacterium partial 16S ribosomal RNA". It matches the Rfam family "Bacterial small subunit ribosomal RNA", at positions 381 to 524 of the family's 1533-position model. Lineage: Bacteria; Bacillati; Bacillota. The record is from RNAcentral.